CCUUUUCUGUGAUGACUCGCACUGGGCUCUGAAUAAAUCUGAAGACACGGUGCACCUCUGGCCCGACAAGCCUGAGUUUCUGAGAAGGAA
This 90-nucleotide small nucleolar RNA is filed under the name Neogobius melanostomus (round goby). Lineage: Eukaryota; Metazoa; Chordata; Actinopteri; Gobiiformes; Gobiidae. The record is from RNAcentral.